GGGGGCCAGGCCCCUUGGUGUUGGCCGCUGUCUCCACUUCCUGGCCAGAAGUUACUUUACCUGGGCAGGGUGCAGCAGUGCGGAGGGAAGCCUGAGCUUUGAGACUCAUGGAGGCCUGGGAGGCUCACACACAGUGCAGUGGGGUGAGGCCAGCCUACUCAGGACACCUGGAUACGGUCCACCCUCUCCCAUGAACCCAGGGACCUUGAAAAGCCUGGAGUUACCACUGAGAAACAUUAAUAUUGAUCUCAGCUGCCUGUUGUCUCCACUGCAAGGUUUCAGAAAAAGGAGAAAAUGGCAUGCUAAGUCCAUAUGGCUUCUGAGUUUCCUUUUUUUAGAUGGAGAAAAUGGAGGAAUGUAUCAAGCCUCACGAUUCCAUCAUCCGGCUUCAGAAAUGAAUUCGGCUGGUUUUGUUUCAUUUUUGUUCCCCAACCUCUUUUGGAUUACUUUGAAUCAAAGCCUGGAUGGUUUUCAUACAGAGUGUUUGUGUUUGGUUUGUUUUGGGGAAGGACUGCUUAGUAGGCCAGCUCGAGUAUGCAGAAGGCUGCCCGUUUCUGUGGCCAGGUUGA
Molecule: long non-coding RNA, 569 nt
Filed under: Rattus norvegicus (Norway rat)
Lineage: Eukaryota; Metazoa; Chordata; Mammalia; Rodentia; Muridae
Description: long non-coding RNA NONRATT011334
Source: RNAcentral